GGUGUUUGACGGCAUGCCGGCACACCUGCGGCGCAUCGGACGUCAUCAGUGGGAGCAUUUAGGGAGCUGAGUGAUGGACGUCUGAUGUCGGAUUAUUGUCGUUCCCAUAAGUGCCUGUCUCGCCGCCUGCUCGCCUGCCUGUUUCUUUGUGCGCUGGCCCAUUUUUGGAUCUAUGACAGAGACUUACCUGGCGCUGGCCUGCGAUCGUUGUUACUCCUGUAUCCUGGUGUUUCAAGUAGCUCUGGUUUGCCCAUCUAUCUGUCUGCAUACCUCGGCUCCGUUCCAUUCCCCCUCGGCUCUGUUUUUUUGCACAUUUACCUGGUCAUUGUAUAUAGCCCCGUCCCCCUGUAAAUAUUUCCUGACCACUGUUAAUAAAUCUGCUUCACCGCUGUUCUGUGCCUGUG
This is a long non-coding RNA of Oreochromis niloticus (Nile tilapia), 404 nucleotides long. RefSeq lists it as uncharacterized. The transcript has 2 exons. The record is from RefSeq and is a predicted model, not a curated record. NCBI's taxonomy places the organism in Eukaryota, Metazoa, Chordata, Actinopteri, Cichliformes, Cichlidae.